GAAUUGACUGCUCAUAUGUGUUCGGAUUUGAGAUAUUUCAAUUUCUAUAUGAUCAGAAUAAAAUCUAGUUUAUUUAGAUAUGUUCAUAUCGAUUUUUGGAUUGCUAUGUGAUUUUAUAAUCGAUUUAUGGAUUUAAUUUCGUUUAAUUAUUAAUUAUAUUAAAAUAUUUAUUUAAUAUUUUAAACCCCGCGGGCGUUCGGGGAAAAAUUCGCCAUUAGGCUAUUUGGGACAUUCUGAGCAUUUCUCGUGUUUUAACUUUUUCAAUCCGGAGUACGGUUUACCCCGUAAAUGGUCCGGUACAAUUUUGUUAAUAUUUUUAAGGUUAAUGAUUAUCUGGUUGUAUAAAAAUACGUGAAGCAUAUUCCAGAGAAUAUUCCAAAGCAUAUUCAAGGAAUAUUCCAAAGCAUAUUCGAGGAAUAUUCUCUUAUCUUCUUCUAUAAAUAUCCUUUACCAGUUUAUUUCGCACGUACAAUCAUUUCGCCAGUUCUCUGCACGAAUACCGAGAGAAAACGAACGGGUGUUCUUCGUGUUCUUCAUAAUCAAACAAGGAUUUGAAGGCGUUAUUGGAAUCCGAUGGAGGCGUAUAAAUAGUCAAAACGAAGCUCUCGACGCGUAGAAUCUAUUGUAGUUAUCCAUACCAGUGCUGAAUCGACAGGUUUUUACUAAGAUUUGGACGAGACGUAUACGAUCGAAGACAUUCAGAAGGUCAAACGAUGAUGCAAAGCGAAUGAGAAAUGAAUCGAAGAGACGAAGUCGUAUUACGAAUAAAGUAUAGCCAGAGAUGGUCUAGAGACUAUGAUAUGCAUAGGUUGUGAGUUGGAAAGAUGAGAUUAAGCUGUGUGUGGAAGCGGAUUUAAGAAAAGCUUAAAGAUGAAUUGCAUGAUUGAGAUUGCGAGUAUGGCUAAGGCUAGGCGAGGAGUCAGAGUAUAGAGUAUACAGAGGACAAGUGGAAAUGUUCAGGGAGACUGUCAAGGUUGGUUCUAGAUAGAAUUGUUGAGAUUCAGUUGUAAUCAUAAUUUAAAUAGAUUGGCAGUGAUUCUUCUCAUCGAAGAUGAUCUGAGGUUGUAAGACAUUGUUUAUUUAUAGUGGUUGAUUCUAAUUUCAAUACUGUAACCUGGAUGAGAUCCUGUUUUUAGGGGGUUAAAGUGUUUUCUUUUAAAUCUUUUACUAAAGUUUUCAGGUUUUAAAUCCUUUGAUUUUAUUACCUUUUUCAAAAAUACAGGUUUUCAAAAGUGUUUUAGAAUGAUUUUGUGUGGUGACGUCAGAAUCCAGACCCCCGGAUUCUCGGGCUGUCACAGUUGGUAUCAGAGCAACAGGUUAUAAGUUAUUGAAAUUAGAAUAUAGAUUGUGGUCAUAAGUUUUAUAGAGAAGAAGUUUUCAGUGACCUCAUAUAGAGGUAUUGUGAGACUGUUUGGGGAUAGUCUAGAGAGGUAAUCGGAAUAGAAUCUAGAUAGUUAAUUAAGUUGAGGGUAUAUGUUUAGAUAGAUCAUGGUUCAUAAGUCUAGAAACUUGGUUUCUAGUAUGGGGACUGAUUGAGAUAGUGAUUUGUGAUAAGGGUCAGAGUUAGACCUAGUCAAAAGAGUAUUAAUAGUGAGAUUGAGUUAAGAAUGAUAAAGAUGCAUGGUUUGAAAAUGGUUUAUUGUUUUAACUGAGAUGUGAAAGAAUGGGUGUAGAAUAUGAGAUAUGUUGGAUUGGAAAGAGAGUUUUGUAGACAGGUGAGAAAUGAAUGAUAGAAAGUAUGUGGAAUUGAGUCUAGUUAUCAGAAGUGAUAUUAUGAGUAGGAUAGGACGCUAGUCUUCAACGACGACGCUUCAAGCUAACCGGGAAUUCAUCUGAUUUCAAGAUGAGCCAGCUUCAUUGCGAAUGAUAAUGUCUACAAGGAAAUCUUACGAGGCUAUCACGAGUUAACAUGGAUCGAUUAUCGAGAACGCCGAGAAGAAGACAUACAUUGAACAACGAUUUAUUGGAGCAGAGCAAGAAUUUGAGAAGACCUUGGCAAUAUCUUUUUCCAACAAAAGCUUAUUUUAAUUCUUUUCAUCAUCAUUGAGCCCUUAUACCUUUCCUACAAAAGUUUUAAUAGAUGAGGUUUUCCAGUUCUCGAAUGACGAGAGAACAUUAGUAUUGAUUAUUGAAAUAAGUGGUAUUGAUUCUUGGUGUGUGAUAAAAGUUGUUGUGAGAAGACAAUGAUAUUUCUUGAUAUUCCUUGACAUUCCGUGAUAUUCUUUGAUAUACCUUGAUAUCUCUUGAUAUUCUUUGGUACUUUUUGAGAUUCCUUGAUAUUCCUUCCAUCUGAUUGGGAUGAACAACCCUAUUUAUAGGGGACACAAGGUAUACCUGUCUGUGUGAUAGGAAUUGGAUGGGACGCCAUCACUUGUGUGUGUUGUGAUUACAAGAAGGUUAACAACCUUUAGUAGUGUCUAAUAUGGGCACGCAACACUAAGUUCGUUUGGUCAUAUUGAUCUCUCAGUCACUUUCUUAUUUAAACAUGACCUAUUCUGAAAACCUUUUGCUCCAUUCUAAGUUCUUAAAGAUUGAAUCUAAGAACUGAGCUCUGAAAUAGUGAAAGUUUUAAUACUCUUAUUUGUUUCAAAGUCAAAGGUAUGCCAAGGUCGAACGAAGGUGGAAGGAUGAUAGUACGAAGGGUGUACAUUUUCGUUCUCUUCGCGGAUUCUGAGGACAGAAUCCUUAUAAGGAGGGUAGAUUGUAACAUCCCAGAUUUUCAGAAUUAGUUUAUUAAUAUAGAAAUAAUUUUUGAAUAUUACUAUUGGCUUUAAUUGAUUUCUUCUGAUAAGAUGAACGGUCUGUGUAAUAUGAGUAUAAUUGUGAUGUGAAUUAUAAGGUUUAAACCGACUAUGCAUUCUUCUCCUGUGAUUUCGUAUAUUUUUACGACCCGGAUUUUUCAAAAAUUGUGUAUCGUUAUGAAAGUUAUUUUCUUAGAAAGAAGGAAUAAAGUUUAAUAUUUUAUUCCAGUUUAAGGUAUUUUCAAAAUUUUAUUUUAUAUAAUUGAUUUUAAAGAUUUAAAGGAUGGCUAUCGUUACAUGGCUAAGUGUUGCAUGUGGAAUUGUGAGUUUAAUUAGUUAUGAUAAUUAAAUGUGAAUAUUGCAUGAAUUUGGUGUGAAUUGAUUUUCUGUAAUUGGUAAUUAUACGUGCCAGAACUGUGGGUUCAAUUAUUGAUAUUAUCAGAAUGAGUCAUAUGUUAUUUAAAUAUUUUCAAAUGAUUUAUAUACGGAUAUAUGAAUAUCCUUUCAAAACUCAUUUCAAAUAUUAUUUCUGAAAAUACAGAGAUUUGUUAUGCAAAAGUUAGAUGGUCGAUAUGUGAAGAUAUGUAUUACAUGAUUAAGUGUUACGUGUGUAAUGGUCGCGUAAUUAGUUAUGGUUAUUUUUGAAUAUUAUAUGAAUAUUUGGUAAAUUCUUUGAUAACUAGUUUUUUUAUUUUGAUUGCUUAUAUAUGUUGCAAUCACGAGUUUUCAAUUUUCAUAUUCUCAGAAUAGAAUAUGGAACAUUUGGGUAUUUCCCUAAUAAUUUAUGAGUAGUAUGUGAUAUUUAUAUGAAUAUUUGUGAGGUUUGUGUUAUCUGAGUUAUUGAAUUGACUGCUCAUAUGUGUUCGGAUUUGAGAUAUUUCAAUUUCUAUAUGAUCAGAAUAAAAUCUAGUUUAUUUAGAUAUGUUCAUAUCGAUUUUUGGAUUGCUAUGUGAUUUUAUAAUCGAUUUAUGGAUUUAAUUUCGUUUAAUUAUUAAUUAUAUUAAAAUAUUUAUUUAAUAUUUUAAACCCCGCGGGCGUUCGGGGAAAAAUUCGCCAUUAGGCUAUUUGGGACAUUCUGAGCAUUUCUCGUGUUUUAACUUUUUCAAUCCGGAGUACGGUUUACCCCGUAAAUGGUCCGGUACAAUUUUGUUAAUAUUUUUAAGGUUAAUGAUUAUCUGGUUGUAUAAAAAUACGUGAAGCAUAUUCCAGAGAAUAUUCCAAAGCAUAUUCAAGGAAUAUUCCAAAGCAUAUUCGAGGAAUAUUCUCUUAUCUUCUUCUAUAAAUAUCCUUUACCAGUUUAUUUCGCACGUACAAUCAUUUCGCCAGUUCUCUGCACGAAUACCGAGAGAAAACGAACGGGUGUUCUUCGUGUUCUUCAUAAUCAAACAAGGAUUUGAAGGCGUUAUUGGAAUCCGAUGGAGGCGUAUAAAUAGUCAAAACGAAGCUCUCGACGCGUAGAAUCUAUUGUAGUUAUCCAUACCAGUGCUGAAUCGACAGGUUUUUACUAAGAUUUGGACGAGACGUAUACGAUCGAAGACAUUCAGAAGGUCAAACGAUGAUGCAAAGCGAAUGAGAAAUGAAUCGAAGAGACGAAGUCGUAUUACGAAUAAAGUAUAGCCAGAGAUGGUCUAGAGACUAUGAUAUGCAUAGGUUGUGAGUUGGAAAGAUGAGAUUAAGCUGUGUGUGGAAGCGGAUUUAAGGCAAGUUUUCCUAAAUCUUUCCUCAUAUAUAUAUUGCAUGUUCUGAUUAUUCUGUCCAGAUUAUGGUAUUGCUUAUACUGAAACCCUUCUCAAAUAAACUCUUAUUUCUGAGAAUGAAACCCAUGAUUGUUUUCUACCUUUAAGUCUUUGAAAAGCCAAACACCCAAAUACUCUCAAUUUCUAUUACAAGUAUUCUGAUCCAUUCUUUCCAAUCCUCGAGAUUUUAAAAAUAUCAGCUUUACAAAUUAAUUCGAAGUUCAGACCGUCAUUGAAGCAUGGGUUGCUCAGUGAUAGUUAGAACCUAGAAUGAGUUGGGAUCUUCUUGAUUAUUCAACCCGCCAUUGUCAUGCUGGUUUAGCAGGCUAAAUUCAGUUGCUUAGCCGAUAAUGGAGGAUACUGAAUAGUUAGGAAUUUCCUGAACAAUGAUUUAUCAAAAGACAGACUGUGGUUUAUGAAAUGUUGAUCCUCAAAAGUUGAUUUGGAAUAUUUCUGUUGUUGAUAAUGAUUAUCAUUCUGUUCUGUUGAUUGAAUUGUUUAUUGAUCUAAAUUGUUAGAAUUGGAUUAGUUUUUAUAAAAUAUGUGGACCAGAUUCGUGGUCAGACCAGAUUCGUGGUCAAUUAUAGGCCAAUGUGUGCCUUGGAUCCAGUAUAGAGAGCAGGGCUGUGUGCCAUGUUCGGGGUUAGUGCGUGACUGAUCAGCAGCCUAACCUUUGGUUUUUAAGUAAAAAUGUGAUGAAUCCAAUUCGACAAUUCUUCUAAAAGCUUAAAGAUGAAUUGCAUGAUUGAGAUUGCGAGUAUGGCUAAGGCUAGGCGAGGAGUCAGAGUAUAGAGUAUACAGAGGACAAGUGGAAAUGUUCAGGGAGACUGUCAAGGUUGGUUCUAGAUAGAAUUGUUGAGAUUCAGUUGUAAUCAUAAUUUAAAUAGAUUGGCAGUGAUUCUUCUCAUCGAAGAUGAUCUGAGGUUGUAAGACAUUGUUUAUUUAUAGUGGUUGAUUCUAAUUUCAA
Molecule: long non-coding RNA, 5444 nt
Organism: Daucus carota subsp. sativus
Lineage: Eukaryota; Viridiplantae; Streptophyta; Magnoliopsida; Apiales; Apiaceae
Exons: 5
Source: RefSeq, a predicted model, not a curated record